RNAcentral lists this long non-coding RNA (400 nucleotides) under Lathyrus oleraceus (garden pea). RNAcentral describes it as "Pisum sativum (pea) long non-coding RNA (PSAT_LNC024125)". Lineage: Eukaryota; Viridiplantae; Streptophyta; Magnoliopsida; Fabales; Fabaceae. The record is from RNAcentral.
AUAAUUGUGCUUCUCUGAAACAACAAAAUAAGACUCUGAAUUAAACAUUUGGUAUCUGGAUCUGACUCUGAUGCUUCUACCAGUUAGGAGUCAUCUGAAUCAGAAAUCCUCAGGACCCAACCCUUUGGUAUUCCUGAAGAUCGGAUAAAUCAACACGUGGAGCAUCAUGCGUCUGACUUUGAAUCUUCUAGACAGCUGUCUAGCAGAAAUCAAGAGACAGACUCUUGAAAUCUCCUCGAGCACUGUGCUGAUUUGGGGAUUAGACCUCCAUCACGGGCUGUAAUCAUUUCUCCUCCAAGCGUGUAAACUUGGAUAACGUGCUUCAUUUAAUUUUUAACAUCUAAACUACUUCUAAUGCUGUUAUUUUGCAUGCAUCUAUUUGUGUAUAUAUACUUUUCAC